UGGGGAAUAUUGGACAAUGGGGGAAACCCUGAUCCAGCGACGCCGCGUGUGUGAAGAAGGCCUGCGGGUUGUAAAGCACUUUCGGUGGGAACGAAAUGUGCCGGGCUAAUACCCCGGUAAGCUGACGUUACUCAAUGAAGAAGCACCGGCUAACUCUGUGCCAGCAGCCGCGGUAAUACGUAGGCAGCGAGCGUUGUUCGGAGUUACUGGGCGUAAAGGGUGUGUAGGCGGUGCUCUAAGUGUGGUGUGAAAUCUCCCGGCUCAACUGGGAGGGUGCGCUACGAACUGGAGUGCUCGAGUGCGGGAUGGGAGAGUGGAAUUCCUGGUGUAGCGGUGAAAUGCGUAGAUAUCAGGAGGAACACCGGUGGUGUAGACGGCUCUCUGGACCGCAACUGACGCUGAGACACGAAAGCGUGGGUAGCAAACAGGAUUAGAUACCCCCGUAGUCCCUGAGCGGGCUGGCAAGGCGCAU
RNAcentral lists this ribosomal RNA (472 nucleotides) under uncultured bacterium. Its description in RNAcentral is "bacterial SSU rRNA". It matches the Rfam family "Bacterial small subunit ribosomal RNA", at positions 355 to 825 of the family's 1533-position model. The record is from RNAcentral.